CCUCUUUCAUACCAACCACAG
RNAcentral lists this microRNA (21 nucleotides) under Mus musculus (house mouse). RNAcentral's name for it is "mmu-miR-7014-3p". The record is from miRBase by way of RNAcentral. Lineage: Eukaryota; Metazoa; Chordata; Mammalia; Rodentia; Muridae.